This 6491-nucleotide long non-coding RNA is filed under the name Olea europaea subsp. europaea. Lineage: Eukaryota; Viridiplantae; Streptophyta; Magnoliopsida; Lamiales; Oleaceae. The record is from RNAcentral.
CGAAAUUCAUUCUACUAAAUUAGCAAAUUUCAUUAAAGAAUAAUAAACACAUCAAGAAUUCUUUAAUUUAUUCAUUUGGCUGCAUGGAUUUGGAUUAUUCAUUUAUUUCAAUUUCAAUCUUUAUCUUACCCAUCUAAAUCAACUUCAUCCAACCAAAUCCCCUGAACUAAAAAUUAAAUACAUUACAGAGAGAGUGAUAUGUAUGAAUUAUUGUCGGGUAUUAAUUUUGUGGGUUGAUGAAAUGGGGGAUAUUGGAAGAAUCUAGGGAUUUGGAGACGGCCUUUUUUGGUUUUGAGGAAAAGGGCCGUUGUUUAUUUGAAGGGAUUUGCUGAAAGAGAUGAAGGAUUUGUUGGGGAGUCCAGGGUCUGUAAGUGGAUUAUUUUUGAGGAUUUUACAGUGUAUAUUUGCAGCUGGAUCCAUUGGAGUUAUGGUGCUCAUGGGUUUUCUAACUUCACUGCUUACUGGUAUAUUUCUUUUCCCUGCCCCAUUUUGCCCCUAUGAAUAGAUAUUUUCAUUUUUCACUGGUUCUAUUUAAGUUUAAUGAGAUUGAUUUGUGAGUUAUUUUUAAACCUGGUAUUUCUUGUGAAAAAUAAAAUGGGACUUUUAAAUGUAGUAUAGUCUUCAGGUGCCUUCUGUUGUUUAAUACAAAAACAAUAUGGUUUGAUGUGUCUGCCUAGUUUAUCUGGAUAAGAUGGAUCCACGACCACAUUAUUUUGAGAAUUCUAAAAUUUUGCUGAAUUUUAGUAAGUUAACAUAUAAGAUAAUUUGAUAUUGUCGUGUUCCAAUUUCUAUUGCUGGUGUAUGAAUGAAUUUUUUUAUAGAAAUGUUCAUCUUUCGACUGGAUGCUGUUGGUGUUACUACAGUAAGAAUUUCGAGCUUCCUAUUUAAACAUCUGGAAGUUCAAACGAAAUGAAAUUGGUAGCUAUUCACGUUUUAAGCAACGUAGACUCAACUAUGUAUUUAUCUAUGAAAUGCCUGAUUUUGGAAGUAGGAUUUUUACCUUGUUUUACAUAAGUGUAACUAAAAAUUAAAUCGGUGCUCUCAUUUAUUUCUAUUUGGAAAUUCUUAUCAAUAUUUGCUACAUCUAAUAUGCAAUAAUCUCAGUUUCUCAGUCUUCAUAUUAUAUGUAACAAUAAGAUUUCUCUCUGACUUUGCUCAAGUUGAUAUUUUUGUUUCUAAUAUUCCCUCAUUUUGCUAAAAUAGACACAAGCACAAGAAAUAUGUUUUCAUUGAAGAAAACAUUGCUCUACACGAUCUACAAGGAGAUCAUUGGAUCUUAAUCAGUUUCAUAAUUUUGAUGAUAUUUAACUGUUUGAUUCAGCUAUCUGAUUGCAUCAAUGGAGCUUCAAGUAUUAUGGACCUUUGGACUUGCAUGUCUAGAUGCCUAUGCUUUGUGGAUAAAAAGACCUGCGCAAUCCAGUCUUACCGAGCCUGUUUGUUGUGGGUGACUGGGUAAUUACCUUAUCCUUUAAUUCAUUUACUGUAUCGUACUGUAAUCUGAUUACUUUUUUAUGAUUCUUGAUCUUGUUGUGUGAAACCAUGUUGACAGUUUUCAUAUUCCCUCGUGUCUUCAUUUUAGAUCAACUCUGGUUAUGAUAUCCAAUAUUUCCAUUAUGUUAAACGAAUUGAUUCUGUGCCCUUUUAUUUUAUCAGAAUGAGUUUGUGCCAAGCCUCUAGCCCCAAUUUCUUCAGAUUAUGAAUAUAAUUUAGACACAACUUUUUUUCUCUACAGUUGGGGCUAGAGUGCUUUAGAACUUUUCAAUUGUAAUUCAGAUGGUUAUUUUGAUUUUCCAGGACAUUGUUAAAGUCUUAUCCCUUGUAUACUUGAGCACUGUAUAAGUCUACAUUACAAUGACAUGUGAGUACUUUUCAAUUAUUCUUUAAGCUAGCUAUGUUAAUUUUUCCCACUUUUUUUUUUUUUUUUUUGGGAAACUAAUGUGAAUUUUUUCACGCCAUUAUGUUCAAUCUGAAACUGUCUCCCCCAACAUGUCCAAUAAUAAUUUUAUCCUUUGCAACCAUUUUAGGCCCUGUUAAAUUUUAUAUAUCAUGUUCUUGUUACACUUACAAUUGAGAUUACAUCAAUUUUGUGAAUGAUAGCUUCUUUAGGGUUUGUUAGGUGAUAACUACUUUAGCCAUCUGUGUAAUCUUUCCCUUGAUUAUCUGCAAUUUGCGUGCCGCCUCAAUUUGUUAUUGUGGUGUUCAGUUUUCUAUUAUAUCCAUUCUAAUAAGUCCAAUAUACGACAAAUGACUGGACGUAGAAUCGCUUAGAGCUGGCAGAACAUGCCCAGGGCAGGAUCCAGAUCCAAAAAGUCGAGUCUCAUAUCAGCCUAGGGCACUGAAAGACGUAGCGAACGAUGGCCCCCGCACCCAAGAGCGCUUAUGUUCCAUCUUAUAUCCUAAUUUUAAUAUCUUAUUUCGUGGACAUUUUAUCUUUUUAGGGUCCAACACCUUGAAAUAUAGCUUGUCUAAUGGUCGUUCUAUAGAAAUUUCUCUUAAAUUGUGCAAGUAAUUUCUAUCAUAAGGAAUCCUUUCAUAUUUACUUUCCAUUUGUAAAACCCAAUUUAAUUAGGAAAAAUUGCAGUCGAGAUGCCAAACCUUUCGUUUAUUAGCAGACUUUGCCCAAACCUUUAGUUUGUGUCAUUGGAGGUACCAAACAUUUCAAAAAUCAGCACUCGAAGUCCAAAUGGAUGGAAACCAUCCGUUUGACCGUUAGUUGACCAAUAAAAUUAAACAUUGACAAAUUUUUGACUAAUUGAAAAGGGUAAAAAAGUAAAAGUACUUAACCAUAUAAUAAAACAAUUAAAAUAAAUAUCUAAAACACAAAAAAAAAAAAAAAAUACUAUUCAUCUCCUUCUUCACCCUAGCCUACCCCCCACGCUACCCCCACCCCAUCCAAACCAUACUAUCAGCCUUUUCCAGUUUCAGAGCCUCUAAUUUUGAAGUCAAUCUUUUAAUUUCCAUCUCAAUCUCCUCGAUUUACUCAUCGAAACUCUUCAAAUCCACCUUCUCUUCAAAAGCCUGUUUUGGAAUUCCUCUAGUUUUCAAAUUCUCCGAAGCUCCAUUCACAUUAACCGGCUUGAAGGGUGUCACAAUAGAUCUGAGAGAAGAAGAAACAGAAGAAAUUGGGGUCUCAAACAGAGGACCCUCAUUCUCUUUGCUCGAAGAAUCCGAGAUGAUCGACUCUGUCGAAUUCAACAACAUGGGCUUUAUAGGACUCCAUGAAGGCUUAUUCCCUGAAAUUUUUUUAAGAUCUCCAUUAUCAAAUGCGGCAUUGUUCCAUAUCUGAAGAUCAUUAGAACUCACGCCUUCUUUAUAGUGCAAAACACUCAUCUUCCCUCUAAUUAAAUUCAGGAUGGGGUGGGGGUAGGGUGGGGGUGGGGUGGGUGAAGAAGGAGAUGAAUAGUAUUUUUUUUUUUGUUUUAGUUAUUUAUUUUAAUUAUUUUAUUAUAGGGUUAAGUACUUUUACUUUUUUACCCUUUUCAAUUAGUCAAAAAUUGGUUAAUGUUUAAUUUUAUUGGUCAACUAACGGUCAAACGGACGGUUUCCAUCCAUUUAGACUUCGGGUGCUGAUUUUUGAAAGGUUUGGUACCUCCAGUGGUACAAACUAAAUGUUUGGGCAAAUUCUGCUAAUAAACGAAAGGUUUGGUAUCUCGGCUGCAAUUUUCCCGUUUAAUUAUAUACAUUUGAUUCCCCUCAGGUCUUUGUUAAAAUCGAAUAACCUGAUGCAGUACCAGAUCAGUAGGCGGGCUAUGAUGUUGAUUUUUAAGUCAUUUAUCCAUUUAACAUUUUUUGGUUUAUGGUUAAUAAUAAAUUACGCAAGGAAAUGAGGGACUAUGUUGUAAUACUAUUAAAGUUUACACUAGGCCCCAUUUGUUUCUCAUUUUUGUAAGAAUGAGAAUGAAAAAUAUAGGCAUUACGGGCUCCACAUAAGGGAUAGAAAUUCAAAUUGGUGACUUGAUGUGAAGUAUAUGGUCAUAUUUUUCAUUUUAAUGGGGAAAAAAUGAGAAACAAACGGGGGCUAGGUCUAAAAUAAGUUGCAGCUAACUCUUUUAUUCUAAGAUGACUUUAAUUUUGGAAAAACAUAAUAUAGAGAGAUUUCUCCAAUUCUUUGAUCCAAAAUGGUAUUCGUGAGCGAAUCAACAUCUAGUGAUCAAGUGUCAUUGUUUUUGCUUGAAUAUGUCUGUGUGAGUUGGUAUCAGAUACAUCCACGUUUCUGAUACACAUGAGUUGGUGUUCAUGAAGCCUUCUUGGAUGAGAUUCACUAUGGAGGACAUGAACAAAUCUCCGGUUUAAUCGAUGUGUUAGAGCAACAUAUGGAGAUGUUGAAGGCCCAGUAAUCGGUAUUUUUGAAUGCUGUUGGAGGUGAUCGGCAUCAUAGAGGCAACAAUAGGGAUCAACAAAACAGAGUUGAAGGCGUGGUGCCGCGACAACUGGUGUAGAAUCAGACUUGGGGGACUCUAAUGGUGACGACGAUCCUUUUGUCCCUUUCAAUCCGGAACAAUAAAUGGACGUUAAUUUAAGUGAAGAUUAUAACGAUCUACUAAUCUUUGAUGAGGAGCCUGAUGUUUAUAAUGAGAAGGAGGUGAUAAGUCUUUUGAGUUGUUUACUAGAACGAUGUUUAUUUAAAGAAGCCAAGAAUUGUCUUUAUGUGGAAUGGGAUCCAGGUUGAAUUCAAUGUGACAGUUGGAAAUUAUAGGUUGUCUUCAAAAUGUAAUUUUUCUAUUUCCUAUUAUUUCUAUUCCAAGUACCGUGUUUGCAAAGAUUGGGAAGCUUUGUUCAAUUUAUUGCGGCUCUAACUCUAUUUCACAUCUCAGCCAAGAUGAUGUUGACGUGUCAUAAAAAAAUCCAAUUUGAAGGCGUGCAAUGUUAACAAUGAGUGCUUUUCUUUAAGUGGCUUGGUUAGGUUUGAGAUUCAAAGAUCAUAUAAUGAAAUUAAUAGAGCAGUUAUAGAUAAUAUCGUGGUUUCCAUUGCAAUUCAAUAUUUGGUUGAUGAGUUUACUCGCUUCUGUUUGGCUUCGAUUAAACUUAAAAUUUUAAUAGAUUUUGACAAGAUAUGAUGAAAUAUGUAAUUGAAAAAGUUGAUAUAAGUUGUAGAACCCAUGAAAUCAUUGAAAUGUAUGAUUGAAAAUGAGUUCGGGGGAAAAUGAGUUUUCUAAAAUGGGAGCCAAAGAGGGGCAUAUAUCUUUCCUGUGGAUUUUCCGAGUGGAAUGCAUCAUAUUACAAGGCAUAUGAUGAAGAUACGGCAUAAGAUUCAAAGGUGAAUAGUCCUCAACUGGGAGAGGAUGAUGCAAUGCCAAAUCCGCAUGCAGGUUUCAAUCUUAGAUGAUUUCUAAGUUAUUUAUUUAUUUAAAUUUUGUUGCUUUAUUUAGUUAUGCUUUAUGAUAAUUUCAUUGGGAACUGAGGGACAAAGUUGUUUAGGUCCAAAAUAAGUAGCCACCAACUGUUUCAUUGUAGGAUUGACUUUGAUUUUGAUAAAAUAAUUGAUAGGUUUCUCCAAUUCUUUGAUCCAAAACUGUAUUCAUGUGCAAUCAACAUUGAGAGAUCCUGUGUUUCUUCAUGCUUUCUUCUAUCUGCAUCCGUAUCUAAAUAAUUGCUCUUUAGGACAACAAUCCUUUGACUUGACCAAUUUCCUUAUUCUUGCCAUGACUAUAAGUGCUUCAAUAUAUUCAAUUUUAGUUUCAGUUGACCCCCCCCCCCCCCCCCCCCCCCCGGUUUUUAAAAUAAUUGAAAAACCAUCUAAACCUAGGCGGAUUUCUAGGUCUCUUGGUUCCAAAAUCUUGAGAAAAAUAGAUCUGUUUCUGGCAUCUAAUUUUCAGACAGCUACAUGCAUAAUCAAGUUUUACCAGGCUUAUGACUAUCUUUGAAAAAAAAUGCAUCUUAUUAUUUCCAUGUUGACAUUUGUAUUCCUAUUAUUAACUACUACUAGCGUGAUCUUUGGUAGCUUUCCUUAAGCUAGCAAUUAGAGUACUUAUACCUGGCCUUCAUUGUUCUUUUGUUGCCUUUCUCAUGCAUUUUCUCCUGUUUCUUAACUUCGCUGUCAGAACCUUGGUUCCAGUAGUAGUAAGUGUUAAAUCCAUUAUUUUCCACCUCAGUUUGGGGAAUAAUAUCAGAUCAAAUGCAGGUAACAGCUACCUUAUCAUUUGCAGCCGCAUGCUCUUCAUCAGGGGUCGCAGUUUUGUACGGCAGAGACUUGAAAUUUUGUAGUGGUCCAGUAAAUCUCCCGUGUGACAAGUUUGAGCUCUGAGCUCUCCAUAGCUUUGGCAUUCGUUACAUGGUUCCUAGUUUCAAUGUCAUCUCAUUUGAUGUUUUGGAUCUUAGCGUCCAUUUAAAUUAUUCAAGAUUAGAUUUACUUUUGUGCAUUUGACAUAUUCCACACCUUCUGUCACAUGUGAAUCUAACUAUUGCUGUUUUGAAAUUGUCAAUUUUUCCUUCUCAGUUUUGGUUCUGUUUUUUUCACUUAGAAUAUGUGGAGUCUCUCGACUCUAAUGGAG